Molecule: transfer RNA, 16 nt
Filed under: Dendropanax bahiensis
Lineage: Eukaryota; Viridiplantae; Streptophyta; Magnoliopsida; Apiales; Araliaceae
Description: partial tRNA-His
Source: RNAcentral
AAGAAUAUAGGGGGGC